AGGAUAAACGCUGGCGGCGUGCAUGAGACAUGCAAGUCGAACGGACGAUCAGGGCUUGCUCUGAUCGUUAGUGGCGGACGGCUGAGUAACGCGUAGGUGACCUGCCUCGAAGUGGGGGAUAACUGCCCGAAAGGGUGGCUAAUACCGCAUGUGGUGGUUCGUUCAUUCGAACCAUCAAAGCAGCAAUGCGCUUCGAGAGGGCCUGCGUCCGAUUAGCUCGUUGGUGGGGUAACGGCUCACCAAGGCGACGAUCGGUAGGUGGUCUGAGAGGACGAUCACCCAGACUGGGACUGAGACACGGCCCAGACUCCUACGGGAGCAGCAGUCGGGAAUUUGCGCAAUGGGACGAAAGCCUGACGCACGCAACGCCG
Molecule: ribosomal RNA, 371 nt
Filed under: uncultured soil bacterium
Lineage: Bacteria
Description: bacterial SSU rRNA
Rfam family: Bacterial small subunit ribosomal RNA
Source: RNAcentral